GACGAACGCUGGCGGCGUGCUUAACACAUGCAAGUCGAACGAAGAGCGAUGGAAGCUUGCUUCUAUCAAUCUUAGUGGCGAACGGGUGAGUAACGCGUAAUCAACCUGCCCUUCAGAGGGGGACAACAGUUGGAAACGACUGCUAAUGCCGCAUACGAUCUGACCUCGGCAUCGAGGAUAGAUGAAAGGUGGCCUCUAUUUAUAAGCUAUCACUGAAGGAGGGGAUUGCGUCGGAUUGGCUAGUUGGAGGGGUAACGGCCCACCAAGGCGAUGAUCAGUAGCCGGUCUGAGAGGAUGAACAGCCACAUUGGGACUGAGACACGGCCCAGACUCCUACGGGAGGCAGCAGUGGGGAUUCUUCCGCAAUGGACGAAAGUCUGACGGAGCAACGCCGCGUGAGUGAUGACGGCCUUCGGGUUGUAAAGCUCUGUUAAUCGGGACGAAAGGCCUUCUUGCGAAUAGUUAGAAGGAUUGACGGUACCGGAAUAGAAAGCCACGGCUAACUACGUG
RNAcentral lists this ribosomal RNA (510 nucleotides) under uncultured bacterium. RNAcentral's name for it is "partial 16S ribosomal RNA". It matches the Rfam family "Bacterial small subunit ribosomal RNA", at positions 28 to 507 of the family's 1533-position model. The record is from RNAcentral.